Arachis ipaensis is the source of this 541-nucleotide non-coding RNA. NCBI's taxonomy places the organism in Eukaryota, Viridiplantae, Streptophyta, Magnoliopsida, Fabales, Fabaceae. The record is from RefSeq and is a predicted model, not a curated record.
UAAGUAUCCAAUUUUCCAACAUUAUAUUAGAUUUUAUGGCGUUUGUAAACUGUGACUGUGUAAUCAAUAUUUUUUUCCCUGGUAAUUAUUAUGGAUGGUAUCCAUAGUUAAAGGUUAGAGAAAGUUAUUCAUGUCCUCAAGAGAUGUUUUAUAUGCUUUAUUAUCUGCACGAACAGAGUGUUACUUUAAUAGAAAUUAUAGAUCUAUUCUCACACUGCAAUCCAUUAUGCAACAGACAUGUUAGGAGUCUGAACAGAGUCCACUUGUUUUUUAUUGUUUUAAAUGAUAAUAAUAGCAAACUACCAUUUGGAAUAAGGUGCGUUCUGUUUUAGCAGGGUUUCUUGAAGGAUCAGAAGAUCCUUGGUUCUUAUCCAAUCUGUUGCCUACCCAGCAUGGAUAACAGGUUUGGGUUGCCUACAAUGAAUCUGCAUGGCUUUUAUGCAAUACUGUGGACAACUCCAUCAACAUCUGUCGGCGCUACCGCUUGGUCCUACGUCGCUUGGCAGCUGUUCCAGAUUCCUCUGUCUAGCUACCUUGUUUA